GUGGCUACGAGGACGAACGCUGGCGGUGUGCUUCACACAUGCAAGUCGAACGAGGUAGCAAUACCUAGUGGCGGACGGGUGAGUAACGCGUGGGAAUCUGCCUUUAGAUGGGGGAUAACGGGUCGAAAGACUCGCUAAUACCGCAUAUGACGAAAGUUGAAAGGAGUAAUCCGUCUAAAGAUGAGCCCGCGUCCGAUUAGCUAGUUGGUAGAGUAAAAGCCUACCAAGGCGACGAUCGGUAGCUGGUCUGAGAGGAUGAUCAGCCACAAUGGGACUGAGACACGGCCCAUACUCCUACGGGAGGCAGCAGUGGGGAAUUUUACGCAAUGGGCGAAAGCCUGACGUAGCGACACCGCGUGAGCGAAGAAGCCCCUUGGGGUGUAAAGCUCUGUCAGCUGGAACGAAAAAAAUGACGGUACCAGCAGAGGAAGCAUCGGCUAACUACGUG
This 448-nucleotide ribosomal RNA is filed under the name uncultured bacterium. RNAcentral describes it as "bacterial SSU rRNA". It matches the Rfam family "Bacterial small subunit ribosomal RNA", at positions 26 to 507 of the family's 1533-position model. The record is from RNAcentral.